UGUGUGUGUAUGUGUGCGUGUGAUGGAUGAUUCAAAAACCUAUGGCCUCUGAUAUGCUUUGCUAGAAAAUGAAUCCCACUCUUAAGAAUUUCUAAUCUAUGAGAAAAAAACCUGAGAGAGGGGCACAUUGAAUUGGGAGUGCGUGAGGAAAGAAGGAAAGGGUUUAAAGAUGGAUGGAAUGUUGCUAAGAGACAGGACAGCAACACAAGGUGACUCCAUGGACACUGGAACCUGGGACGGGAGGCAGUUAGAAAGGGGGGUGCAUGCAGGAGAGGUUCCCCAAGCAAACUUAGCCCACUUCCCACAUCCAACCAGAGCCAGUGAGAGCCUCUCUCAGGAUUCUCAGCCUGAGGAAAGCAGUUCUGUGUACUUAGAUGGAAGAGAAAGCUGUAUCGGACCAGUGGCUCAAAAAAUAGUUUUAAGAACCCGAGUCUUAGCCAUUUUCUCAUUACUGUGUUCUUCCAAUGCCAUUUAAAAAAAAAAUUCAACCUCCUGUCUAAAAACUUUUCCAAUUUACUCUUUUGAGAAAACUUUAUAUCCUGUGGAUCUCUGAUACUGUCCUCAGAUGCGCUUCUCAGAAAAUCUGUCCUGGUUUGCGAGGACUUUGGAACAACGAGAAACAAUGAGCUACCUGGAGAAAAAUACCCACAGGCUCAGCACACCUACCAGCUUUUUGCUCAGAUGCCAAAGAAGAAAGGGAAAGAACAGACGAGGCACGAUAAACACAAUGGCGUGUGGUCCUGCUGCGUUUGUCUGAGGCCGCUCAACACCGAAAGUCAGUUCAUCUCCUCCCAGGAAGGAGUGUUUGUAAAUUGUAUCAAAAUGAUUCUGGACUCUCAGGCAGGCUGAUUGGCCUGGACUCCUGGAAGCAGUUAGAGAAGCACUCAUUUGUAAUGUCAUGUUGGUUUCUUAUUAUUUAAUAUGUCAGCCAAGGGAGAAAAUGCCCAGAUAUUUGUGCUCA
Acinonyx jubatus (cheetah) is the source of this 961-nucleotide long non-coding RNA. RefSeq lists it as uncharacterized. Lineage: Eukaryota; Metazoa; Chordata; Mammalia; Carnivora; Felidae. The transcript is spliced from 2 exons. The record is from RefSeq and is a predicted model, not a curated record.